AGAGUUUGAUCCUGGCUUAGGAUGAACGCUGGCGGCGUGCCUAACACAUGCAAGUCGAGCGAGAAACCGUUUAAUUGACACUUCGGUUUGAUUUUAGAGGACGGACAGCGGCGGACGGGUGAGUAACGCGUAGGCAACCUGCCCUUCACGACAGGGAUAGCCUCGGGAAACCGGGAUUAAAACCUGAUGAUACAUUUUUAUACUCAUGUAUGAGAUGUCAAAGAAUUUUAUCGGUGAAGGAUGGGCCUGCGUCUGAUUAGUUAGUUGGUGAGGUAACAGCUCACCAAGGCAAUGAUCAGUAGCCGACCUGAGAGGGUGAUCGGCCACAUUGGAACUGAGACACGGUCCAGACUCCUACGGGAGGCAGCAGUGGGGAAUAUUGCACAAUGGGCGAAAGCCUGAUGCAGCAACGCCGCGUGAAGGAUGAAGGCCCUUGGGUCGUAAACUUCUGUCCUAUGGGAAGAAAAAAUGACGGUACCAUUGGAGGAAGCCCCGGCUAACUACGUGCCAGCCGCCGC
Molecule: ribosomal RNA, 518 nt
Filed under: uncultured bacterium
Lineage: Bacteria
Description: bacterial SSU rRNA
Rfam family: Bacterial small subunit ribosomal RNA
Source: RNAcentral